RNAcentral lists this ribosomal RNA (466 nucleotides) under uncultured bacterium. RNAcentral's name for it is "partial 16S ribosomal RNA". It matches the Rfam family "Bacterial small subunit ribosomal RNA", at positions 28 to 507 of the family's 1533-position model. The record is from RNAcentral.
GACGAACGCUGGCGGCGUGCUUAACACAUGCAAGUCGAACGGAAAGGCCCUGCUUGCAGGGUACUCGAGUGGCGAACGGGUGAGUAACACGUGGGUGAUCUGCCCUGCACUUCGGGAUAAGCUUGGGAAACUGGGUCUAAUACCGGAUAGGAACCAUCUUUAGUGUGGUGGUUGGAAAGUUUUUUCGGUGUAGGAUGAGCUCGCGGCCUAUCAGCUUGUUGGUGGGGUAAUGGCCUACCAAGGCGGCGACGGGUAGCCGGCCUGAGAGGGUGUACGGCCACAUUGGGAAUGAGAUACGGCCCAGACUCCUACGGGAGGCAGCAAUGGGGAAUAUUGCACAAUGGGCGCAAGCCUGAUGCAGCGACGCCGCGUGGGGGAUGAAGGCCUUCGGGUUGUAAACUCCUUUCGCUAGGGACGAAGCUUUGUUGUGACGGUACCUAGAUAAGAAGCACCGGCUAACUACGUG